RNAcentral lists this ribosomal RNA (304 nucleotides) under uncultured fungus. RNAcentral's name for it is "eukaryotic LSU rRNA". The stretch from base 1 to 99 matches the Rfam family "5.8S ribosomal RNA", at positions 59 to 154 of the family's 154-position model. The record is from RNAcentral. Lineage: Eukaryota; Fungi.
UAAGUAAUGUGAAUUGCAGAAUUCAGUGAAUCAUCGAAUCUUUGAACGCACAUUGCGCCCCCUUCGGUAUUCCGAGGGGCGAUGCCUGUUCGAGCGUCAUUACACCACUCAAGCAUCGCUUGGUAUUGGGAACGGUCCGUCGCAAGGCGGGCCUUCCUCGAAGACCUCGGCGGGGUUCAACCAACUUCGGGCGUAGUAGAGUUAAAUCGAACGUCUUAUAAGCUUGGUCGGAUCUCAUUGCCGUUAAACCUUUAAAUUUUCUAGGUUGACCUCGGAUCAGGUAGGGAGUACCCGCUGAACUUAA